GCAAACGGGAUGCUGCGAAAGUCCCGCUUCUAGUUCAUUUUUCAAAUCUUUUAUUCAAAAUUUUCUUCAGAAUUUGAAUAGGAGAUUUGAGAAUUGAACUAGAAGCGGGACUUUCGCGGGAUCCCGUUUGCACC
This 134-nucleotide microRNA precursor is filed under the name Brachypodium distachyon (stiff brome). RNAcentral describes it as "miR5185d stem-loop (bdi-MIR5185d)". The stretch from base 9 to 119 matches the Rfam family "MIR5185 microRNA precursor family". Lineage: Eukaryota; Viridiplantae; Streptophyta; Magnoliopsida; Poales; Poaceae. The record is from miRBase by way of RNAcentral.